Non-coding RNA from Streptomyces sp., 75 nucleotides. Lineage: Bacteria; Bacillati; Actinomycetota; Actinomycetes; Kitasatosporales; Streptomycetaceae. The record is from Rfam.
CUUGACCGCACCGAGCCACAGCGGCUGGUCGGCGGGCCGGUUCUGCCCGUACGUGGCGAGCAGCGCCUGGGCCUC